GUCCACGCCGUAAACGUUGGGCACUAGGUGUGGGGCGCUAUCGACGCGUUCCGUGCCGUAGCUAACGCAUUAAGUGCCCCGCCUGGGGAGUACGGCCGCAAGGCUAAAACUCAAAGGAAUUGACGGGGGCCCGCACAAGCGGCGGAGCAUGUGGCUUAAUUCGAUGCAACGCGAAGAACCUUACCUGGGUUGAACUAUGCAGGAAAAACCAUAGAGAUAUGGUGUCCUUCGGGGCCUGUGAUAGGUGGUGCAUGGCUGUCGU
RNAcentral lists this ribosomal RNA (262 nucleotides) under uncultured bacterium. RNAcentral describes it as "partial 16S ribosomal RNA". It matches the Rfam family "Bacterial small subunit ribosomal RNA", at positions 793 to 1055 of the family's 1533-position model. The record is from RNAcentral.